ACACUAGAAUAUUCACGCUCCGGUGGCAGCAGCAGCAGCAGCCAGAGGAGCAGCCCGACACACAAGGGACCCCUCAGGAAUGAAGCAGCCUUUCAGGGCCAGAGGGGCUGUGGUCUCCCUUCCUCUCCUUAAAUAGCCAGCAUUCCACCCACAGCGGCAAGGAGCCCCCUGCCACCACCGACACCCACGGGCGGAGAUCACCUGCUGCCCCGCAGACCCCUGUCCCUUCCUCCUGGACCGGCAGCUAGAGGCUCUGACUCCAGCCAAAGCAUGAAUGGCCUUGAAGUGGCUCCCCCAGGUCUGAUCACCAACUUCUCCCUGGCCACGGCAGAGCAAUGUGGCCAGGAGACGCCACUGGAGAACAUGCUGUUCGCCUCCUUCUACCUUCUGGAUUUUAUCCUGGCUUUCGUUGGCAAUACCCUGGCUCUGUGGCUUUUCAUCCGAGACCACAAGUCCGGGACCCCGGCCAACGUGUUCCUGAUGCAUCUGGCCGUGGCCGACUUGUCGUGCGUGCUGGUCCUGCCCACCCGCCUGGUCUACCACUUCUCUGGGAACCACUGGCCAUUUGGGGAAAUCGCAUGCCGUCUCACUGGCUUCCUCUUCUACCUCAACAUGUACGCCAGCAUCUACUUCCUCACCUGCAUCAGCGCCGACCGCUUCCUGGCCAUUGUGCACCCGGUCAAGUCCCUCAAGCUCCGCAGGCCCCUCUACGCACACCUGGCCUGUGCCUUCCUGUGGGUGGUGGUGGCUGUGGCCAUGGCCCCGCUGCUGGUGAGCCCGCAGACCGUGCAGACCAACCACACGGUGGUCUGCCUGCAGCUGUACCGGGAGAAGGCCUCCCACCAUGCCCUGGUGUCCCUGGCCGUGGCCUUCACCUUCCCGUUCAUCACCACGGUCACCUGCUACCUGCUGAUCAUCCGCAGCCUGCGGCAGGGCCUGCGUGUGGAGAAGCGCCUCAAGACCAAGGCAGUGCGCAUGAUCGCCAUAGUGCUGGCCAUCUUCCUGGUCUGCUUCGUGCCCUACCACGUCAACCGCUCCGUCUACGUGCUGCACUACCGCAGCCGUGGGGCCUCCUGCGCCACCCAGCGCAUCCUGGCCCUGGCAAACCGCAUCACCUCCUGCCUCACCAGCCUCAACGGGGCACUCGACCCCAUCAUGUAUUUCUUCGUGGCUGAGAAGUUCCGCCACGCCCUGUGCAACUUGCUCUGUGGCAAAAGGCUCAAGGGCCCGCCCCCCAGCUUCGAAGGGAAAACCAACGAGAGCUCGCUGAGUGCCAAGUCAGAGCUGUGAGCGGGGGGUGCCGUCCAGGCCAAGCGCAGACUGUUUAGGACUCAGCAGACUCAGCAAGAGGCAUCUGCCCUUUCCCCAGCCACCUCCCCAGCAAGCAACCUGAAAUCUCAGCAGAUGCCCACCAUUUCUCUAGAUCGCCUAGUCUCAACCCCUAAAAAGGGAGAACUGACAAAGGGGAUCCAUCGGCCACCCCUCUGCAGGGGCUUGUGAUGGCUACAAUGGCUCCUAGACACUCAACGACUUCAUCUGUGGCAGGGAGAGAGGAGGCCGGAAGAACAACCCCUGAACAAUGGAGGCCUUUCUUUCCCGCUAGGCUCCCAGCCUCCUUCCCGCUACAGAAUCGCUCAGCGGCGAGGUUCAGCAGAAAGACCCGGAAGGCAGGCUGCAAAUGACCCAGAAGAGGGACCUGGGAGUCCUGGUGGGGGCGGGGAGGGAGUCUCAAUAUUCCUUUGCAGUGCAAGGUACUCUGAGUCCCCUCUGUAGUGCCUCUGCCAGACACACACUGCCUGAGUUGAAGAGACACAGGCCACACAUUUCGGGCUGGUUGCCAGCGGACGUCAGCACUCACGGCCUGCAGGGACUCAGCACAGCUCUGGAUUCUGGAUCUCUCCUGCUGUAACCCCACGCACAAGCCUGCAACCCCCAGAGCUCUUUGACAGGCUCCCAGGCCUCCCAGUCCUGGACAAACAUGUACAGUCACAGGAGCUCAGCUCAGGCCAGGGCUGGGCUGUGCACCUGCCUCCCACUGACCCAGACCCACUUCCUCCAGAGAGGCCUCUCUCUGCCUGAGCUAUUUCCCUUGCUAGUGUGCAGAUAUUUCCCUAACAUGUCCUUUUUUGUAUUUGUUUGUACAGACCAUAAAUAUAACUGUAGCUUUAAGACUA
Molecule: small RNA, 2174 nt
Filed under: Pan troglodytes (chimpanzee)
Lineage: Eukaryota; Metazoa; Chordata; Mammalia; Primates; Hominidae
Description: processed transcript
Source: RNAcentral